GCCAUAGCAGCCAUGCUGUCCGAAACGCUGCCGCUAGCACUCACCUGCGGCGGCGGCUGUUGUGAAGUUCUGUGACGUGACUGAAAAAAUGUCGGAGCCAAGAGCCAAGCCCGGGCCGGGCCGAGAUCGGAAUAGAAAUCCGAAACGUGACAGGGAAAAAGGAGAAAGACAAUCGUUGUGCGGGCGAGUGCUCCUGUUGCGGCGGCUGUGCCGGCCAACUGCGCCUGCGUCGGGGCCCGGGAAUAGGACGGGCACUGGGCCCGGACCUGGACUCGAAUCCCAACAAGGACUUUCAGGGGUAAGUACGAGUCAAUGAGGGUGGAAAAGUAUGGCUUCCCUUUUGUUCCAAUUAGCCAGUUCACAAACCAUUAUGUUCCUGUCCCGGCUAACACGUCUAGUUGGACGACGGAAAACGUUCAACAGAAAUUGAAUCCAAUACAAAGUACAAUUUGUUUUCUUACUUAUUAACAAUACUUUUUGGAUAAAAUUGUACGAAUGACAACAUCCAAUGUGCACUUCGUUUAAAAAAUUUUCCCACGAAUUCCCAUUGAAAUUUAAAGAAUAAGAAUAUUCCAAACAAACGUUUCUGGCUGGGCGCUCUUGCUCACCAAUACAUUCAAACAAAUUCCGCUUCUCUUUCACUUUUGCCAGUGUGUGCGUGCGCACUCUCUUAGCUGUUUGCAUGUGUUGGUGGCUACUCUUAGGUGACUCUCUUAAGGUGUGCUCUUUGGAGACUCUCUUUACCGUCGACUCUCUUAGGCCUGCUCUCCUGCACCUGCUUUGGUGCUCUUUGUUGUGAGAGUGUUGUUUUGGCGCUUCAUUGUUUUUGUUUGCCUUCGCUCUCUCUCUCUCUCUCUGCCCUGCGUCCCCCAUCCCAUUCACUCUUCGCUUUCUGCUCUUUGCUGCUCCCGCUCUGACUGAUGCCAUUUGCUUAUUGGACGCCGAUGCAUUUCCUCGAGCCAUCACACCCCACCCCAUCACCAACAUCGACAUCCCAUGGCGCAGCUUGAAAUCUUGUUAGAAUUUAAUGGAAUCUCAAAAGUCCUGCGCAAGUUUCGGGCUUUGGGGAAAUGCAAUUUCCUUUUUUACGAUUUUCCUCAGCCAAAGCAUCUUUACCCCUUUUUUGGUUUGCAUUCCCAACUUCUUGGCUUCGCAGUUUUGCUCCUCGGCCACCACGGAGGGGUGGAAGAAGUGGAGUGGAGUAGAGCGGAAAGGAGUGGAGUAUUGCAUCAGUGAAAGAUAUAAUAAGUUUUCGCUCACUUGGCAACAAAGUCGGCUGCCGAUGCAGAUGCAAUGUGGGUAGCGUAGCACUUGCUUCUACUUCUGCCGCUGCUGAUAACAAUGAUUGGUGCUAUCGCGCCGCCGUUUACACAACAACAAUGUCGAGCAGCCCCCAGCUUCUCAGAGAGAGGCGAAACUCUCUGAUGGAGGGAGGUAAAGACGAUGCUGAUCAGGAAAAUGUACUUUGUGUGCAUGAAUGUAUGUAAUUAUGUACAUACAUACAUACUCUUUGAGUUCGGAGUAUUAUGGUCCAAUUGGAUAGUUGGAUUGGUUCGCGUAUCCGCUAAGGGCUCAGAAAUUAGUCGGAAAGUAAUCGGAAUCCACACCGCACAUUUAUAAGGAAGUACAAUAAGGUAGCACCACAGCCAGCAACAACCGAACAAUAACUUGUUACAGCCUCACGACUUCACCCAUACAUCAGUUGAGAUGCCCCCUAUCCUAUAUCUUCUCACUGCGAGUAGGAAUCCGUUUGUGUAUGGUAGCCUCACAUGCGAAAGUGUGUGUGGAAAUGUUGAAAUUUAUCGCUUUGUUUUGUUUGUUAUCGAAGCGCAGUCGAACGCAAACAUUAGUUUUCGCUUUGUUUACUCAAAGGUCAAAUUUAUUCAUGACGUUCACAGCCAGUUUCAGGCUUACAAAAUUUAUUUGUGUUAACCAAAUUAAUUCACUGAUUUGAACGUUUGUUACAUUUUAAAGGAUUAUGAAUCGUUGAUAUUAAUGGAGCGUUUAAUUUCCGUAUCUAUUUUAUUUUGUUUUAAAUUAUAAUAUAGCUGCUUAUAUGUUUUCUUAUACUAUGUGCCUGGCCGUACAUAUUAAAAUGUAUAUUUUAAAAGGCUGAUUAUUAUUUGCAUUUAAAACGAAUAAUGCAAAACUCUUGCAUGUGGAGAUGGAAGCGGCGGAAAGAGUUCUGCCUGAAAUCAAUCUGUAAACGGGUGGAAAGUAUGCCCGGCAGAAGAGACAUAAAUCAGAUGAUGGCUAAAGAGGCAAGACACAGGAGAGUGAAGAUGAAGCCACUUGCUGAGAUUCCUUAAUCCCGUAUUGGCAGCUCGCGAAUGGGAGGGUGGCGGGGCCAUUCUCGCAGCGGACGUCAUAAUCGUUCCAGUGACAAGGCAUAAAAUUUGAGUUUUACGAUUUAACUGGGCCAUAAAGCAACCAAUUAGUGUCAGUGGCAGAGGCUUCCCCAGUGCCUGGGGGCGGGCGGGGGCAGUGCGUGCAGAUUGAAUACUCGCCCACGGUUAUGAGUGUGAAAUUCGUUUAAUUGCUUUAUGAUAAUUCUGACAGCUCAUUAAAAAAGUCGACGAAAUACAAGAAGCUUAACUGUAUGUUUCUCUCUUUUUUGGCCUUGCUCCUGCUACUGAAUGGGCUGAGGUGUAUAUUGGUGCUGGGAUUGCGUUUUCCGUUCAAGUGACUUUUUAAGGAGCUGCCUAAUAUACGACUUCCCUCGCAGCACGCACAACCAGAUUCAGAAGCAGGCUCUGUCCCUGCCCCUAGCCCUGUGUAGGAGUAAUAAAAGUGACGACAGUUUCAUUUUAUUUUUUAUGACAAAGCGUCGUCUGCGGUCUCUACCUCGUUGCCCCGCGCAGUAGCAGGAGCUGUAGCUCAGGUGUGUCCACAGCUCCGUAUAUGUAUGUAUGUUCUCCCCACUCUCGCUGGGCAGGUGGAUAAUUUUUAUUGCCGUAAAUCACAAUGUCAAUUGUUUCUGUAAUGGCCGUGCCAUCCAUGGCACAAAAAUGGAGACAUUGAGUGGGCUCCAACGUCAUUUAGAUAGAUAUGCGUACGUACGAGUAUCUCAAUUGAGCGAACAACAGAAUUAAGCAAAACAAAUGCCAGACAGAAAGCAGACAAUGAAAUAAAUCGGCUCGAAUAGUCGUAAAAAGAUUAGAAUUGGGGGAAAGGUUACAAAAUGUAGGGACGGACUGCUCUGAUUGCAUUUCUUAUCGCAAUUAACCGGAGCGUAUGCAAAAUGCAUUUGCCGCACACCAGAUCCAAUUGCAAUUUCAAUUGCCACCUCUCCAGGUCGAAUCGCAGCUUCUCUUAUCAGCCAUCAGCAGGCAUUGGCAUUGAUUGAUCAAGCCUGGUCGAACGCGGCUUGGCCAAUCGAUUGGCUCAGAGACCAGCACCGACGAGAGCAGCUAGCUCCAAGCUGCUGGGUGCAAUGUUUAUUUGAAAGUCAGUCUUCGUCGGGAGUGUGUGGGCCCGCUCUUUGGGUAAAUAAAAUGUGCCAGAAAUUCCAACCCCAACGGGAGCCCAGCAUGGAGAACAGAGAAGAGCAGAGCAGCGUUCGGUGGUGAGGUAAGUAAACAAAAACUAAAAUGAAGAAUGUCCGCUGAUUGACAUUAUCCGGUGCACACGGCGCACAUGCCACGCCGAUAAUGGCACCCAUAUCCACACGGUGUGGAUUCCCAUUUAGGAUUUCCGCUGUGGCCAUAGUUCCUUGGAGCUGGUAUCUGGUAUCUGGUGGGCAUGGGGAAAGUUAAGCAGGCUGUUAAGCAAUAAACAAGGCAUCCUCGGGAAUGUCAAAAUGUUUUUGAUGGAUUGCCAGCAACGGGGCUCCGUUGUCAUUUGCAGCUAAAAAGAGAGAAUGAAACGGAAAAUUAUUUAAUUUACUUAAAAGCUUCUGCAGCGGGUUCCCCAUUUUCCCCAUUUUUCGCUAUUUUCCGUUGCAUUCCGGUCUUUUAGCUCUAGUCUCUUAUUUUUUUUUUUGACAAAAUAAAAUAUUUAAGCGCAGAGGCAAAACAAAAACAAAAUCGAAGCAGAGCAGUCCGCUGUCUCUGUGUGUGUGUGUAUAUGUACGUGUGCGUGUGCGUGUGCGUGUGCUUGUAUAUCUGUAUCUGGAAAAUGUCUAAAAGCAUUUCUACUUUAGUUCUCGUUUCUGUUUUUGGCACUCUGCCUGCAGCUCAUUUUUGUUGUUUUCCCCAUUUUAUAUUCUUUGAUUCCGUCUAGUUUUCCAUUUCAUUCCAUUCCUCCGCAUUGCCCACAGUAGCAGAAACAACAACAACUAUAAUAACAACAACAACAAGGCACAACUACAGCUACGUAUCAUCAUCAUCAUCAGCACGGUCGCCCAUUGUGAUUUUCUUGUAUUGUUUUUCUUGCCAAUUUUCGUUUCAUUUUCCUUCCACUACACUAGCAAAAAACUCAAAAAGAACGUAAUAAUAAAUUUAAUAUCAGUUAGUUCCUAUAUUAAAAUGUCAGCUAAUAUUUUCCCGCUUCAAUUAAACAUUUAUUUGUUUUCAUUUUGCAAAUCAACAUAUUUUUCUUGCAGUGUAGCCACACCUUCUCAUUCAUUCUCGCCUCGUACUGGCACUCGUCUCUUUCGCAUUUUCGUUUCGCAUCAUAAUUUUUUGUUCGACGACGGCGACGACAAAGGAAUACCAUUGAAAAUCACGUUCCUCCGGAUGGAUCCACUUGGGUACGCAACCCAGAGAAGAACUGCAAACAUUUCUUUGGCUGCUUCUCCCUGUCCCGUACUCAGCCGGCCGAAACGCCCACAUAGUUCGUGUUCCGUAUUUAGUGCGGCCCCUCUGGGUAGGUCUCCAAGGCUCCAUUUCCCUCGGGCACUUUUCAAAUGUGCCGUAAGCAAAGCACGCGCCGACGAGCCAAAAGAAAGAGCAGCAGGAGCAGAAGCAGAAGCUGGAAUGGAAAGUCACAUCCAAGUUUGAAAAAACGUGUUCCUCCUGGCUUUUUUUCGGGCUCAUCGGUUUCUUUUAUUGACCAUCGAGUUAAUGUAGCAGCUAACGCUGAUCUGGCAGAGGUAAAUCGCUUCGAAAAGGAUGCUUUGCCCAUUCGCUUGCGAGAGACCAGCAAACAAAUCAAUCCCAAUAUGACUUUCAGCAUUUAAAAAUGCGCAGACACUCCGGAGUAUGUGUACACUGCGCUGCACAGUUUUAUUUGUCUCGAAGAGUCGAAGUUUGUAUGCACUGAAACGAGUAAUAAAUACAGUAAAUACGCUCUCUCUGGCUUCAUUUUCUGAUUGCGCUGAAGCUGGAAGUAUAUUCAGAUCUGAUUCCCGCCAUCAGUUAAAUGUCUUAGUUAUAGUGUGACAAAUUGGUGGCAGGCGUGCCAGGUGGAAUGAGUUGAAAGAGCACACAAAUUGGAACCACUCAGACGAUAAGGAACUAUAUUGAAUUAUUUAAUUUAAAAACAGGUUCCACUAUCUCCACAUUGGGGCCAACGCAAAGCCACUGAUUCUGUUUUGCUUUGAAAUGUAAAAUAAUCUAGACGGGACUUAGUUGGAGAGCGAAAGUUAAACCAUGGGGAAAUUAUGUCUGAUAUAGUUGCCAGGAUGGCAGAAUGCAGAAAGGAGCUGGAGAUAAAGAUGGAUGGCCCGAGCUCAGGGUUCAAUUUGUCUGAGCGCCUGCUUAUCUAGCAUAAAACCUAGUGAGGCAGCAACGGGAGAAUGCCAAGCGCUGCACUGCAGUAACCCGGCCCCUCACCUUCCUGUGCAUCAUGGCUGCCAUAAGCCGAUGAUGAUGAGCCGACUGGGUCGCCUCGAUAUGGCCACCGCGUUGCAUUCAUUCCCUCGCCAGCAGCUAUAGCAGCCGCCACGCACUUACACAACCUCUGGAGCGCACCCAUACAGCCACACAGCUGCCACAUGUGCGAUGGGCUGUUGCCUAUCUUUCGCCAUAUGGCUCGGCAUCCACUGAGAACUUUUAAAGUGGCGUCAUGUACGAGAAAUUCCAUCAGCGGAAAAGCGGGACGUUUCCCGGGGCCGUCGCAAUGCGAAAACUGGCACAUGCGCAGUGCCAAUGUCGGACCGACUAGGGAGCAGGGCGGCAGGCGGCAGGCGUACUUGGCUGGCGGUGGUUGGAAUGUGGACGUGCAGCAGCAGCAGUAGGGGACGGGGCACCGGCCACACGCGAUGCAUGAUAAAAGCUAAAUUUAAACCUCACCUGAACUGCCACAAAAUGCUGUAUUCCAACUGUAUCUCGAAGCUUCAAUUGCGCCGAUCUGGCUUCCAUUUUAUGGUCUUCUUGGUGAUAUUAUCCGACGAAGCUUUGCGGAAGAGCACGAUCUGAUUCCGACUUCCAGUAGCGAUUUGAGCGGUUGAAUAUGCUUCGCAAGGGAGAUUCCAUUUAUGUAAUGACAAGAUGACAUUAGAAUUGUGAGCAGAAUCAUUUAAUUUCUAUAAGUUUUAAGUGCCCAACAAUUUUGUUUGCUUCGGGAAAGAAAGUCACUCGUUUUUUGCAGCAAUAAGGCGAAUAAAAUAUUUAAAAUUAUUAACCAAAACUCGUUUUAUCCUGCCAUUGAUAGGGAAUUUAUUCGCCAAAGCCAAGCCGCUUACCGUAAAUUACAAUUUAUGCCCAGCGGCAAGCCAAGUCCCCCUCCAGCCACUGCUCCUUCUUCCUUCCUUCCAUUCUCCAUGUUUGGUGUGGAAAAAACUCGUUCCGCGAGCAGCCGCAGCAACCCCGAGCAGGGCCCGAAACGGAGGCUCCAUUUCAAUUGGAAUUAAGUAAUCAUAACUAAUAACUGUUCGACGUCCACUGCAUUUGCAUGUGUUAUUUUUGGGUUCGUUGAUCCAUGGGAAUGGCGGCCAUGUGCCGCCGCCAUCGAGAGUGCUCCGGUCUCGCUUUUUGCAUUUGGUUUCCAUAACUUUAACGACUCUCCAUCUCCGCACUAGCUCUCUGGUCGAUUGGACAUCGUACUCGAAUAUGGUCAACUGGGGAACUAUUAGCCGAUGGGCGUACGAAGUGCAUCUCCCAUGUCUCGCAGAGCAGCGCAAUCAAUUGUCAUAGCAGAGCAGCUGAAGCAGAUUGCUUUACGAGGGCAAAUAUUUGUGCUGCCUGUCGGCAUGUGGCAGUGGCAACCCGUUCGAAAAAAUGAAUACAUAUAGAAAAUUGCAAUUUAUAUGGCUGCCAUAAACAGGGGCUGCGUCGCUUUCACUUUUCCCGGAACAUUUGAGACGCUUCAUUUUUUUGACCAAACUCUCUGUGUUUUUUUCUGGUAAUUGCAUUCAGAGCGUAGCAGACGCAGGUCACAGCAGACAGACAACAGACAAUCCCGCUGCCGAACCCUUUCUGGCACAGUCGGAGAUCACCGCCGUCGUUCCAUUUCCGCAGCGGGUGAAGACGCGAACACUGCGAAACUGCAGAUCGUGCGAUCUAGGACUGAGACUGAGAACUAAUAAAAACCAUAUUUUCCUUGAAACGGGAAAAUGCAGCAGCAUUUGAAAUAGUUUUCACUCAUACCAAGAUUGCUGCUGAAAGGGUUUCUCCUCACAGAAGUUUUUAUUUUGCAUAAAUAUGUUUGGACCUCUGGAAACCAAGUAUUGAUGUGCACAGAAACAUGUUCGAACAUCAAAACGCAAGACAUGGAAUAAGUUUCUAUCGAUUAAGUUUCUUCGAUGUAUCCAGAGCAUUUCAAGUGACACCUCCGUCUCGUUGGGGCAUUUAAAGUUAUUCCUUUGGAGUUUGCGCUGGAGCUUCUUCGUAAGCGACUGCUGCGUCGUGACCCUCGUUAUGAUACCAUCGAGCAUACAUAAAUAAAUCGGAACACGAGUAAAUACUUACAACAAAUCAACACGGAGAGUGUGGAGGGAAGACAUGGGGAAUCGUUUUAGUUUUCCAUUUGCCCCGCACGGCUCCAGUCGUCGGAAAAUGGAAAAUAUUAAUGAGAAAAAGUUCCUCCUCGGGAGUAGACCUUUUAUGGGAUUUCUAUACGGACAGCCAGACAGACUCGCUAGUUAGCCUCCACUUUGGUGCGGACAUGUUUGUCAUUUACAAGUUGCGCUGCCAAUUACUCUGAGGACCACGAAGCACUCCAAAGAGAUGGCAGACGCUCUGCCACGGGCCCAGUGCCAUGGAUCUGGCUGCUCAUUAUGAAAAUGAAAGCAGUUUGUUUUGGCAGACGGACAGAGAACGGUAGCCGGAGAGGAGAAGUACAUAUAUCUUUGUACUUGAGUAGAAUUUAUGCACACAAGCAUAUUCCAUUGGGGAAUUCGAAUCGAGGUCGGGCGAGCUCUUUCUGUCUGCCUGUUUGUCCAUCAAACAAGGAAACUAAAAAGUUUUGCAAAAAGCAUCACAUGAGACUGGCAAGAAAAAAGAAAUGAUGAGGCCCUCGAUGGGAUGCUGCUCGGCUGUGGCAGGGAAAACAAAUAGACAAACAAGCAGCAACCACUCGACGGUACUACAGUGGGCGGGAAAAUGGCGAACGGGUGGAGCAGUAGCAGUAGCAGUAGCAGGAGCAGGGGAUGGUGCAAAGGGACACACGACCUCUACAUAUGAGCAUAAAAACGGGCUCGAGCUGGGACUGGGACACUGGCGGGGACUGUAUGUGAAUGAAGCAUCGAUGUUGGGAUAAUCGAAUGAGCGACGGGUAAUGGGGCGCAUGGAAGAGACCCACAACUGGACCCCAUGGAAUAUGAAUGCAUCUCGAGCAUCUUUCCGUUCCUUCAUAUAUCAAUGGACAUGUGUGGACGUGGAGGCCUCUGUGGGAAUACUCCCACAAGUAACUCGUGGUGCGUGAGCGGGGCCACCGACCCACUCCCCUGGAAACAACUAUGAAUUUAUUGUAUUUCUGCUUUCUGCAAACACGAAAGCGCACUUUUCGAGGUAAUGGGUUGGGUGUUUUGGAGCUGGGCGAUGGGCGAUGGGCGCUGGACCGAAAUGAAUUGAAAUAAAAUGAUAAGCGUGAAAUAAUAAUGAGGAGCGUGAUCCGGCAUAAAUCGGCCAGCUCACAUGAUACUCUCUGCAACGACCAAUGAACACAAGGACAGCGUGCUUUGGGCUUUGUAAUCCAUGUAAUCGGCUGUGAAAAGUGUUUUGCAUAUGAGGAUGCUUACAUAGCCCGGCAAAUGGGUCUCUCAUAGCCCAUAGCCACAUCCCCUUCUGACAGACUAAACUUGAAAAAAAAGGACAACAAAAUAAAAUAUUUACUCAUAUUUCCAAGUACCUAAUUAAACAAUAUUUAUUUGUUUUCCAUCUCAUUUCAGUUUGAUUCCGUUUCGGCCCCUGGGGAGAGGAUGUCGCCAGGCUGCAGCUGUUCCAGGUGAGUCUCCAUCCAAAUUGUAUCUCAUAUAUUUGGAUAUGAAUGCUGCAUGCCAAAUAAAAGUAAUAAUAAUGGGGAUGCCCAUAAGACUCCAUAUGGCAACCAAUUGAAUCGAGCCGCAGGUGCAACUGUGGAGAGGGAGGAGUCGCGGCUUUUGUUGUGCCAGAAGAACCCUGAAACUGUUUCGAUUUUUUAUUUGCAAACAUGAUUUUUGCUAAAUUACUUUCCUAAACGACGCGCAGGGCACACAUGUGUGUGUGUGGGUGUGUGUGCGGCAUAUGAAGUAGUUGAGACCCAAUGUUGUACCUUUUGCCAUUUAUUUGCACCACAGCUUCCCGAGCCAAGGAAAAAAGGCAAAAGUUGAUCAAAUAAAUGGCGAAAUUUCCAUAUUCCAGCGAUAAGAACGAGAACGUGUAGCUCAAAGAUUUCCAUCAAAUCGAAUCGGAACGGGUCGGGACGGAACAGAACGGGACGGGAAAGGGCAGAGAAAUCGCCUGCUCGGACGACCGAGUAACAAGUUGUGCGAAUCUCUAUCUAAGGGUGGUGGGAGGUCCUUCGCUGGAACGGGGUUGCUGCGAGGCAGGUACAACCCCCGUCGCUUAGCUAAGUAAAUGGGUUGGCUGGCGAACGUGACUCGCCCUGCCACGAUAAUGUAGAGCACAUGACUCCUUUGCUCCUUCGCCAGAUCUACUACUGCACCAUGGAGCAUUAAAUUAACUAUUUAAAAAGACAAAUUCCAGAAUAGCGAUGGAUUAUUUUGGUUAAAAAUUUACUUUUUGAACAGUGAACUCAUUUGAUGGCGGAUUCGAUCGAUGUUUAAGGUGUUUUUAAUAAAUAAAUAGGACAUUUCCAGGAACAGAUGAUAGUUUGCUCUUGUAAUCCUAGAGAAGUACAUGCAAAUAUGCAUCCGAUUCAACACUCCGCGUCCCACUGUGCGUUGACAUUGUGGAGAAAACCUUGCGAGGAAGCUGGACAAAGCCAGUCACGAAUCCAAACUAAUGAGGAAUACACGUAAUUACAUGUGGUUACACAAUAUCAGAAACAAUGCCCCUGCCUCGGGAAUCAAUGCCCAGAGACAACCCCAGAAAUUUAAUAAACACGCAAGUGCACGGAAGUGAAUUAUCCCGUCAGUGAAUGAUGUACAUAAGUCGUCUCCGCCUCCACCUUCCCUCCACUAAGACUUCUGUCUGUCUGGCGCUGCCUUUAGCUUCUUUGCCUUUGGCUUUGGCUUUCCCCCUCUUGGUUUUGGGGCUGAUGUCUUAGACGGCACAUAAAUACCUCGUUUAUUUGCCUGACUUUUGCCCGUGUGCGGCGCGUGUUCUCGUUUCAUUAAGCGCUCUCCACACUCGCUUCAAUUGGAUGCUUUAUUUGCGGCUUCAAUUUGCCAGCCUUUUUGUGCCUUUUAAUUAAAUGUUUUCCCCCUCUUCAUCGAAGCCGAAACCCAAUUAAAUAGUCCGCAGAUCAUUAAGCAGGGCUGAGUUCUGAUCAGUUAAGGAAAAGGUAUUGCGCGAAUAUAGUUGAACUGCUUUCGAAGCAGGUGGAAUUUCCAGUUUAAUCGCACAAUGAACUGUGCAAAACUAUCGUAAAGUGAAUUAAUUCGACUAAAGGUAACUAUAAGUGUUGUGUACGUUUCUAGCAAUUGUCUUGUAUGCCUGUUUAUGACUUGGAACUUUGUUCUAGUAUUUAAUCUACAUUGCCUCGAAUUCAAACUAAAUUUGUUUUGAAACAAAUUUAUUUUGAAGGUUUUAGGAUCUAUCCAUGGGCAUGAGGCUCUCUCUGCUCGGCAUGUCUGAGCAGCUGUAAAUAAGUAAUGAAAUUACGUCUGUACCAGGCGAGUUCAUGUAAGUGGCUGGAUGCCAAUGCCGGGCAGGUGGCGCUGAAGGGUAAACGCUGGGGCAGACGUGGGGAAGUUCAUUUGAAAUUUUAAUCAGCGCUGCUUGGUGCAAAGUUGAAUUAAUUUAACUAAUUUCUUAGAUACAUUUGCAUGGAAGCUGCACUCAAUCGUGGCCGUUACCGCUUCGAGUUGCUUGAUUACAUUAAGGAUGCGCAAUUAGAAGAGCCCCGCAGCCUGCUAUGGAGAGACAGUGCUUGGGAUGGGCAGGGUGGCCAGAACUCAAUUUCAUUAAGUGCCAGAAGGUGCUGCCCAUUUCGAGCCUUCCCCACUUUGACUUACCAGCCAGCGAGGAUUAGCAAAAGAGUUCGCUCUCAAGUGGAUUAUGAACCAAGUUUCGGGGGGGCAGGGACUGAGGGAAAACAUGAAAAAUGGGCUAAUAUUCCACAGCCCUGCACUGCAAGAAAUUUGUCUUAGUAUUCGAGGGAGAAUUCUGGCCCAUUCCCAUUCCCGUUUGAUUUAUUUGCGUCAGAAUGCUGACGGCCACGGCUAAUGAAACGUGUGGAGAAGCACGGCAACAGCCGCGCCAACAGUGGAGCAAUAUCAACAAAAACAAAAACAAAAAAAUCAAAAACAGAAUCAGUUCAGCCGCCGCGAGUCGUGGACAGACAUAAACAGCUGCGCCCCAAAACGGGUGCGAGUUGAAUGGAGGGGUGGGCGCUGCAUAUUUCGAUAUUUCUGGCCUGCCACUGCCACUGCCAUCGAAAAGGCACCGUUAUGGUAACCGUAAUGGCUUCGCACCUCUGCGUGAAUGUGUACAUAUGUGCGAGAAUUUACGAAUGGGUGCCGCAAUCGCAGUCCAGCCUCAGCCUCAGAUGGAAUUUCACGUGGCAGCAACAAUGAGCUGAACAACCACUGCAAGUGAACGAUGAUAGCCUGUCCCGCUCUCUCCCCCAGGAGACGCGCACACAUUGCGUCCUUGUCGCGCACACGCCACACACACACAUACACAGGUAGCGGGCUCUUGGGCUGUUGGCGGCCAUUGAAACUGGCAGCCAUUCCCCCCGCUCCAGGCAACCAGCCAACUAUGCCACGACCAACUCGAACUCGACUGCGCAAGCAGCGCCCCGUCCCUCACACCACAGAGACAGAGAGUUUGACUUGAGCCUGAAUCGAGGCAGGCCAGGCAAAAAUCUGUUCAGUUAUACUGCUAGAAUUGUUGUUGGCAUUAAAUGUUUUGGAUAUUGAAGGCUGAGGAGAGAAGAGGAGAGGAGACCAGUCCGUACGCAUUUUUUUCGAACCUGCCUCUGUAGGGCACCGGCAGAUAAACAUGAAACAAAACAGAGAUUUGAGAGAUACCGGGUAAUCGGGGGUGGCCAUUGGGGAUAUUCACUUAAGAGUCUCUGAAUGCCCAACUUUGUUGGCAAGUUAUCAAGUAGUAAAUAUUAUUAUUUAUUAGUCUAAAAUAUGUUAGCGACGAAACGGACACAGCUUGACGCUUAUCCAUGACAAAUGGAAUUAAAUGGAUCACGAAAACAGUAUACCUUUUGUACUCUCCGAGAACGGGGUAUAAGAAACUCAAAUUGUUUGUGUUUCAGUGCUGCAUACAGUUGUUACUGUGUGGGGGGAGUGUGGAAGUGUGGAAGUCUGGUGUCGGCCUGACUCAUAGAGCCCAGCACACUCGGUGUACUAUUUGUGGGUGUCUGAGUGGUGGAAUACAUUUACUUACAUUUUUUAAUGCACCCAAUAAAGAAAACAAAGCACAAACAAGUUCCAUCUUUUUAUAUUUUUAUUUUUAAACUCUGGUUUAUUUAUUUUAAAGUGGCCACAACGUAAAAUGGCAUGGAAUUUCGUGAAUGAAAAAUAUGUUUACUAUCUAUCUACUACCAUAUCUCGUAUGACGUUGGGAUUGUAUGUAUUUGGGAAACAUAUUGUGAUUUUCUGAUAUGAAUAUUCCUUUAAUCAACGCAAAGUGAGCUGUUCCCAAGACAACCCCAACCGCUGCCAAGAGCGCCAUGAACUAUGAUUGAUGAUUGAUGACCCUUGUUGCAGCGGCAAUUAACUUGCGGUGCUGCAUCGUAAUGUCUGCGAAUCUUGAGGCGAGGGGAGAUUAAGAUUAGAGUAGAGCAGGGCGCACAAUGAGUGGCAGGCAGUCGUGCAUUGAACCCAGUCUUCUGUGGCUUAUUAUUCGCCACGACUCUAAGCAUAAUCCCAACCGAGGUGGAAUAUAAAUGGCCGCAUUUCGGAGCAAUCCAACUUUUGUCCUGGUUAUAUGACCGAGAGCGGGAGUAGCAGUGAGAGGUCCCGUCGGCAUUGAGGGAUGAGCAAAGUUUUUAAAAAAUUUAUAUUAUUUCUGAGUAGUUGCGGGCACCAACUAUGAACUAUGAACUUUUCGUCACCCAACCCCAUCCCCGAGCCCACUCUGUGAGCAGCUCGAAACGGCUGCGUGGCUUAGUGCGCGCGACGAACUUUGGGGAGCAAUCGUGGAGUCUUAUCAUGGUGGAUUUAUGCCAAAUGAUGGCAGAUUGCCAAGCUGCAACUACACACACACAAACUGUGAAAACUCGAGGGAGGCGAGGUAGGUAGUCGACGGUGGGGAUAGAUUGGGUUCAAAUGGAACUGGAUACAACAACGACUGGGCAGGCAACGCGGCUCCUAGAGUGCGAGUGGCCGGCUGUCUGUCUCUGCUUUCUGGAUACUUUUAUUUUCGUUUAUCUUUCUCUCUUUCUCGCUUGUUUUUUACAAUUUUCUCUCGAGUAUAAUGGCUAGAAAAAGUUGUGCCAUUCCCGAGACAGCGCACAGUGGGACUCAACUAGCGAUUGCCUUUGACACCACUUUAUGUGACUGUGUCUAGCUUUUUCUUCCACUGUGUGGCGCUCGACAUCAGACUUCUCCUGCUGAUGCUGCUGCUGCUUGGGCCACCGUCUUGCCGACGUGGAGCCAAUUUGUUGCGGUUCAUCAAUAUGCCACGCCACACACGCCAUGCCACGCCAUGCCAUGGCAGGGUCUGGCCAACCAACCAAAAGGCCAGGGAGUGAAGCUAACCAGCAUCGGAGUCAGGGACAAACGGAUGCGGAUGUGGUUGGGUGUCAUGGUGGGGCUCGCCCCUGCGCAGAUUUGCUGGUCCAUGUUUGUGGGGCCUUGGGGGCCUCUGGAGGGGUAGCUCGGCAAUGCCGGGACCGAGAAUCGUGGUCGUUGAGGAGCUUAAGUGGCUCCACGUACUGCUUCUGAAAAAAAUAUGUGCAUAAAUUUAAAGAAUCUCAAUUUACUUGGUUCGUGUUCAUUUGUGUGCCGGCUGCUGCAGCCCCAUUCCCUGUCUCCUUCUCCUUCUCCAUCUCUAUCUCUGCUGCGAUGCCCCGAUCCGGGGAUCGACAGCGACUCCUGUACUGCCAUGCCAUGCCCUGGUCUGGUCUGUCUGGUGAUUUGUGAGCCCAAUUAUUGUACACUUUCUUGUCUUGCCAGCCUCCUCCUACCACCACUCCCACUGCCACUGCCACUGCCUCUCCUUGGUCGUGGUCGUUUUUUGUGGUUGUCACUUUGUUAUUUAUUCAGCGCCAUGAAGCAGCUCUGAACUGUGCUGUCGAUACUGGGCAGGGCUGGGGCUGGGACUGAGGCUGAUGCUGGCGCACGGUUCUCAGACACUGAGGCUGUUAAUGAGUUCGUUCGUCUCCGGUUCGCGCUCUGUGCUCUGCGCUGCGCAUUUGGAUGCUAAUGAGUGGAUGGCAUCCAAUAAAUUUAGUUCGUUGGGCUUUGCUUUUAUCGCUCCACUUGCAUAAUUCACGGAGCUACAGGCGCUGCCAGCCCCCAGCCCGACACUCCGCCGAGGCUACAGAGGUCAAUACAAAUUGAUGGGUCGCAUUGUUAACGCCGCUGAUUACAAAUUAUUUGUAUUGCCCCCUUCCAGUUGGCUCUUGCUCAGACCACCCUGUUUGGUAAUUGAGCGAGUGAGAUCCAUGGGUGCCAAAGGGGUGUCCUGUCCUCCUCUGGCGACUUACAAGGGUUACUCUCCCUCUGUUCCUAAAUAAAAAUGUACAAAAAAUAUCUUUAACUACAGUAGUCAAUGGGUAAAGUAACUAAAUAAAUGGCAAGACAUCCAGUUUUCCCUCCAGCGAAUGUCAACAAUCUUAUCAGCAAAUAUAACUGAUGCUCCGAUCUUCCAGAGUAUGCCUACAAUGUGAUUGAUUCUUCCAAAGAACAGCAAAAUUAAUUUUAGUUUUGCUCGCUCUCUCCGGCGCACACAGUGCUCCAGCAACCCCAUCCACAAGUCACUAAUAAAGACACAUGCAUCUCCAGGUAGUAGCCAAAGUGAUUCAAAGUUGCACGAUCCACUUAGAAGACCGCGAUUAAAGCAUCAAAACUAAUUGGCCGAUAGUCCAGGGUCCAGUGUGGCUCGACGUUUGGUUUCCUGCUAUCCGAAACCACUUUUAGCUUGGAUUUUGGAAUGGGGCUAACCUAACUCAAUGAUAACGGAUCAAUCAAUGCCAGCAUUUGAAUUGGAUUUGAAUUGGAAUAACUGUUUCUGAUUUAUGGUAUGAAAAAAGUGUACAACGAUUAGAGGAAAGGAAACGGGAACUCGGAUUAGGAGCACUCUAAGUAACGAGGUACCUCAUCUAUAUGUGGAAUCAUUGCCUUCGUUUCCUCUUCCAUGAAUUGAGUUGCGGUUACAUAGCCCAAAAAUGAAUAGAGAAAUACACAGCAGGAUAUUCCUUCGAUUCUCACUCGAAGUUCCAUUUGGCUUUUGUACUGAAGAAGACGCCUGGCGGGCGAACCGGGAAGCUGCACGCCAGAUAUCCUUUGCUACACUUCCAAUCAGCAGAUAAAAUCCGUUUCCCGCCAGAGGGCGCUUUAGUAAGACGCUGGGCGUAGACUCAGUCCAAUUGGAAGUGCGAACGAUGUGCAUGGGUGGGGGGAGCGAUGUUUGCCUUACGCCUGUGUUUGUGCGUGCAGUGGUGUGCGUGACGGAUUUUUUCGGCGGCCAUGCUGGAUUUAUCUGACUAUAUCGACAUCCACCACCACCGGGCGUCCUUUUCUCGCACAUGCGCCGACGCUCGACGCAGAUAAAGUCUCGAUUCAGGCGUGGCAACGCUACCAUGGUCGUCGGCAGCGGCAGCGCCGCCCACGCACACCAGUGCACGCACAAACACAAACGCAAAAGAGCCGUCGCUCUGCCUCACCACGCUCCCCCCGCCUAAAAGACUGGGCCCACAGCGCGUGUCUUCCAUUAUUGAAGGGGCCGCGUUGCCAUGGCAACUGUGCGCGUUGGUCGCUCGGGCAGAGCAGAGACUCACACUGAAGCUCAGACUGGUACUAGUAUGCUGCGGAGAGCGAGACGGGAAAUGGGUUUCGUCUGGCUGCGGCGUCACCAUGGCCUGGUCGUCACAACAACUCGAGCCAGCAUCGAUCCCUUGCGCAGAGAAGCCGAGAAUUUUCCAGCAAUGUGGCAGGACUGCAUAGGGGAUACUAUGUAAAUCUGCCAUACGGCAGGACAUUCUAUUCAAAACUGAUUCCAAAUUGUUUUGAAAAGAGAACUAACUAAGCAGAGUUUAGCUAAAAAUGCUACCAAUCCUAGUUAGGGUUUAGUCUAGGCUCGAUAAACCAAUACAACAAUGCACAGAAGGCACGACUGAGCUUCCCUGCGACACUCCAAUUGCCGUCGGCACUUGGAGCUCAAUUAAAACUCCCCCUUUGCGGACUCGAGUCCAUUCCGAACUCAUUUAUGCAAAUUUCCAUGCUUCGGACCACACACUGAUGUCAGCUAAUUGACAAUUAGCGGACACAAUGUAAUUUUAGCUUGACGGGGAGGGGCCGCCGCUUGACUCAUUUAGGCGACAAUUGUUUAAAUCAAGAAAAACAUUUGGGUGUUUGCCAGACUCUGCAGACAGACACUGCCUCUGAUAGGAGCGGAGUUAAUCAUUUACUGGACAAUGAGCACAGCAGAAUUUGCAUAACUUAAACGCAGAAUUUAUUUUAAUUUAAUCAUUGCAUAAAACGUACUUCUUUAUAUGCACUCACACUCGCAGUCACCGCGAGCACGAAUAGAAGUACGAAUACGAAGGUGCCUUUGAGCUUCACUCUGAGGAUGGCGACGAGUCGGAAGAGGAUAGAUCCAGCUGGAAUUACAGGAACAAUUUAUGUAAAUUCCUCGACUCCAACUCCGACUUCUUGCCAGUUUUGCCGCUGGCCAAGAUGAAAUAUUUUAGUCACGUUAAUUCAUUUCACGUUUAAUUCACAAAUAAAGUUCGUAACUUAUAUCGUGCUCAUAAUGCAUGCAAAAUUAUUGGCUGUGCGGGGAUACGCUGCACUAUCCGCUGCCGGUGAGUCCAUUAAGUGUUCGAUUUACAUCCGAUAUGGCUGCCACGGUGCGGUAGCCAGGCGGGGCUUGCUAUUCGCCCGCUGAUUUACAAAGGCCCCGGGGAGAGACCAUGCUCCGUCAGAGUUUAAGGCCCUGGCCCUAAAUCCAAUUCGCAUCUCAGCGUGCUCUUUGUGGAUCUGUGCCUCGCUCUUAACGACUUGAUAAGUAAAAGUUUUCUCCUUGGCAGCUGCCACACACAGCGCAAACCGGAAAUAAUUAAGCGAGCCAAAGUUUGUCAGCCCAAGUUUCCGCAAUAUGGAAGAAACUAGAGGCCGAUGCCGAGGCGAGGUGGCGAAUUUCAUUAGACGGCCAGCCGCCCCAUCUCCCGUUAAACAGACUGACAAAGUAGCACCGAGAAUGGGGAGGAAUCUGUUGGGGACAUAAAAACUUUACCAAAAAUAUUGGCCAACACUUUUGGCAGCCAAAUUAAAAAGAAAGCCAGCUCAAGUGGCAAGAGUACGGGCAACUUUAAGUUGAUUUCACCCACAAGCAAGCGUCAGCUCUGUCCAAGUCCUGUCCAAUUUGUAUUCCGUUUCGGGCUGUGCUAUUCAUAAUGUAAGCGAAAACAAACACAACAGCCCGAGUCUAAUAGAAUCAUAUUUUCGUAUUUGCCGGGCUUAUCUGGGUGGCCAUUCCAUUGCUUGGUUUGGUUUGUUUGCUUCCCAUCGUGAGCACACUUAGGUGUGUUCUUCCAGCCGAAAUAGAUGUCAACAUCCCAGAAAUUGAGGCACUUACACACGAAGCGAAGCUUCCUCUACGUGCACUGCAAGAAACCGGAUGGAAACACAAAAGUUUUACUUAUUCCUUUGGCCAUUCUGUUGCCCAGAAGUUGUCUCGUUCUGACUCGGUUUUCUGCCAGUGGCCGAACGUUCAACGUCACUUACCCAAAAUGCAACGCCCGCCGUCAGAGCAAUCCAAGCAGAGAGCCAGGGGAGCCGUAGGGACUAGCCGAGGUCGCACAAUCACGAGCACAAGCCCAGGCAAUACGGAAUGGGAACAAAGCCAUUCUUCCGAAUCGUUGCCUCAUGCACAAAUAAAAGAAAAGUCACAGCCCGGCCAGGGCACGGAAUAAGUGCCUAUACAUCAGCUGCCUCGAUGUGGGGGUGGUUCGCUUGUGGGAGCGGGUUCCAUCGUCCUUAUCGUAUCCUGUUUUGCUGCCUCGUUGCAACUGCUGUGCAAAUAAUGGGACUGAAGGCUCUCCCAGGAGCUGGAGACAACACCUACAACGUCCACGGGGAUUGCAGCCACUCGAAACAGAUUUUCUUUUGGCAACUUCUGGUGACGUUGUGGCCCGUGCCCGGGGAGCUUUAUGGGUGUGGCGGGCUGCGUCUGCUCCUCCGCUUUGUCAGCUCCACCUCCGUCGACGGGUUGGGACGUCGACACGUUUGGUGUUGGCAAAAGUUUUCUCAUUUUGGCAAGAUGCUCGCUCGUAACGAAAAUUGUCGAGUUCGCCAAACGCCACUGGGAUGGAGCCCCAGCCAGAACCACAACGUGAACGAGGGAAGAGCCAAAUGGCAUCGCACCGCAUGCACUGGCGACAUUUCUCAUUAAAAGUUUUCGACAUUUUGUUGUCUCAACAAAUGUUCUUAUCAGCAGACAAAGCCAUUUCCAUAAUGAACACAGCGGAACACGAAAAAUGCACAAAGCCAAUGCCAUGAAAAUCGAAAGAUGUCUGUCAGGUGUCUGUCAGCUUAUUCGGCUACGGCUAUAAUGAUAUGCGGGUGUCUUAAUUAAUAAUAGGUUCACUGAUCUGGAGCAGCAUGUUGGGCUGAUUGUGGCGCAUGGAAUUUCUUACUUUACUUACGAAGCCGAGAUACGUGGGAGUAUAUGAUGAUAGAUUUAUUUCAGAUAUACUUUAUGCGUUUCCAUCAAAAAUACGUCAUGAAAAGUAGUUGGUACUUUUGGUAUCAACCUCUAGUCGAUCUUGCACUCACAGUACUCCAAUGAAAACUGAGAUCUUUUUCGGUGUGCAGGAGUACAUUUCUCGGCCUUGUCUUAAGUGUAAUUACUUGUAGUUUCGUAAGGCCAAUUAAGAGAAUGUUCCCCGGCCAUGCCACAUUGCUGCCAUAAAGUAUGAAAUGAUAAUUUCCAGGCCAUUGCCAGAGCAGAAAAAAUAGCAGACCUUGAAGCUAAAUUAGGCGCAACCUGCGCGCAAUUAUCGUUAGCUGUUCGCCUCCUCCAAAGGGUUGAGCCAGAGCCGAGCCUUCUUUUGGUUAGACAAAGGGUUGGGCUCAAUGUCAGCCUUUAAGGCAAUAAAACAGGAACAACCGCGCACCGGUCGGGCCAGGGCUCGGGCUCGAGCUCGAGGUCGGGGCAUAAAAAAUAAGCCAGAAACAAACAAAAAACACACAAUGACUAUGUACACACGUGUAUGCGUGUGUGUGCCUGCCAGGGCUAGUUUAAAUCUACGCAUUAUGGGCGCACAGUGGGCCAUUGACAAUUUGCGGCCAGCGAGCAGAGCGAUCUCUUCACAGAGUCACCGUCAGAGCCACCUCGUCUGGCCGCUUCGGCAGCUAUUUGCUUUUGCUUUCUUUUCGCUUUACGACGCAGCCAGGCUUGGAAGUGCUCUGUGUGUGGUGUGUGCUGUGUGCCUCUGCCCGUCACAGUUCGAAGUUUUACGGUCUACGAGAGUUGGCCCUAAAAAGUGAGAGUCAUUAAAAAUGUUUACUGCUUCUCAAGGUCGUCGCAGGGAAUUUUAUGUUGCUUUUUAUGACGUAGUUGUCACCGAGCUGCUGCUGCUGCUGCUGCUGCUGAGUCUACGGCUCUCUCCUCAUUGCCAGGGCCAUCGCCAUCGUCGUCAGCCCCUCCAUCUUCAUCGUCAUCGACUGACCCAAUUUGCCUGGGAGUUACCUUGGCAAUUGUAUCAAUCAUUUUAUUGCUGGCUCAUUUGAAUCUCAGAAUUGAGUUCAGCGACCCCAUUGCUGGGAGGAGCGUUGUUGUAUACUGAUAUUAAAAGAGAAAUAUAAAAAAAUCUAACAUUAAUCCGCGAAUAAUGUAAAGUUGUCUGAUCCUUUUCAUCAAGAGUUUAAUAAAAGCACGUCCGGAUGAAAAAUCAGCGCCCCCUCUUAAUAUUUAAUAUUUUCGGUUGGCUUCCAAGCGAAACAUCAAGAUAUCGCUGCAGCGCACAUUUGAUGCCUUAUGAGACUUUUCCCCGACUUGGCUUAUUUGCGGAUUUCGAGCACGCCUCGCCAGCCAGCAGAAAUGUCGGGCAGGGGCGAGACUCCAAGUGAGAAUGGGGCAAAAUGGCAGAAAUGCUUAGUGCCAAGUGCCGAAACUAAAUCCAAUAACUAUAUGCUGAAACAUUCAUGAGCGCAAAUUGAACACGUUCCUGCGUCUAGCUGCGAGCGCCAAAAUCUUGGCUCUGCUUCGAUACAGCUUCGAUUUUGUUUCGGUUCGGGCGAAUUACGUCCAAUGGAGCUUGCUGAUGGGGUGGACCGGUCCGUGGUGGUCAAGCGGGGCCAACGCACUCAUCGGCAGGCAGCAUGCCGAGCAGCUUGGUCUUGGACUGCAUCAAAGUGAAUUAUCCACACCUUCUGGCGAGAGCGACCAUUUUGAUUAGAAGUAUUUCUCGCAGACGUCUCUCAGCAGUUUACAAAAACGGCCAAGAGUAGGAGGUGGGGCGUGCACAGCGCAGAAUAGUGAAAAAUUCCUUUGGCCAAUUGCACGUUUCAGCUGGGAGCGGAACGGGUCGCAUUCUGAGUUCCCUCACACUUAUUUGCAAUUGAGAAUAAUUGAAUCGAGAAAUUGGUUCGCUCCACGAAAGGAGUACACAGCUCAGCUUGCAGCUCGAAUCCGUUAUUCCAUCCAUCGCACAAAAGUUGUUUGAGAAAUUCAAUUGGAUUUGGAAAAGCCAAAUCAAGCAGCUGAACAAUGAGGGGGAGAAUGAACUAUAACCAACGUUCGUUUUGUGCCUGACCAUUGGCUAAAUUGUCAAGUUAUAUUGUGUACAUAUUUCGUAUGUGUAUGUGUAUUAUAUUUUACGAGUAAAGUUUGAACUAUUUUGUAGUUUUAUAGACACAAUUCAUCAACUACAAUAAGCGCGGAAACUUAGAUCUAAAUUUUGAAAGAUAAUAGCAGCAAUUUAUGUUUAUUUUAUUUUAUUUUGAACAAAAACAUAUUCAUAUAUUUUAUUCUCAAUGAAUUCUAAUUGUUAAAUUAUUCAUAUUUUAUUUAUUGACGCAAACAUUUGAAUUCAGUUUGGGCAAACAGCCCUAAACCCCUGCCCACACCACCCCCACCCAAACAUGUGCACAGAAAUGAGAGUUUAAGAGAGUUCUCGUGGCAAAAGAGAGCUUUUGGCGCUCUCUUCGGUCGCUUUUCUCGCGUGGCGCUCACACAGGGUGCCUCGUGUUCAGAAAUUGAAGCUGCGGUUUGGUCGCUUUGGUCGCUCCAGCUAAAAUGAUGUUGGUAAAUAAAUCAAUUGAGAAUUAAUUUGAAUACUAAAUUGUGUCCAGCUGCAAGGUGAAUCGCGCAUAUCGAAUACUCUAAUUAAGCCAUCUCUCCUUUCGACUUUGGGUGCCAUUUCGCCAUUCGAAUGGAUAACAAAUCAGUCGGUGGCUCAGCCAGUGGCCGCUUGCGAAAUCGCGACAGGCCAUAAAGUUGGCAAGCGAUGAGUUUAUUAGCCGACAACUGACGUCCCACCAGCACAGUUCCCGCCCCGCUGCGGUCUUCGAUUGGGAUUGCAUCGUAAAUAACCGCUCGCUGGGGCUGGUGAGCCGGGGUCCCCCGGCCAGUUCCCCUCAUCUCAGCCACAGCGUGCACGCAUCCAUCGAUGGCGAUGAUGACGAUUAUGUGGAUGGAGCAAUGUAGAUGUCCUUGAUGAGGAAGAUUGUCGAUUAUGGCCCCCCAACCGAAAUUUUGCAUGCAGCAGCAGCUCUCAGGUUGGCAAGGAGCAGGGCCGGGCCGGGCCAGGAUCCGGCAGGAACUAAUGGAAGAAUUUCGCGAUGUCACGAGCAUGAGUUAUGGUUAAGUGCACUUUUCGGGCUGCCUUGUCCCAAAACCACCGAACACCCACCAGCACCCCCGCUCUACCCCCUCCUCCGUUCGUUUCCCCGCCCGAUGACGCUAUGUUUGUGUCUAAAUGCAAAUUUUGUGUAAUGAACAUCGAGCACAUGGAGUGGCAUGGGAGGGUCCAUUAUACCCUUACCUCAAGGCAAAGAGUUUGUUUGCUUAUGCCAGGUUUGGCAUUACAAGUAAAAAAUGUAAAUACAUUCAUUCACACAUAUAUUUACAUACAUAUGUACAUACAUUACAUUAGAACAUAUAGUAAUAUGUACUUUACAUAUUCUCCACAAAAGGAACAGAGAAAGAGCAUCCGAGCUUCGUCCUUGAUUACUCUCAGGUAGCUGUUGUUUUUGUGCUGGCUAAAACUUUUGCCGCUGCCUGACUAUUAGCUAAUGCCGGAUCCGCGGUUCGUGACGUGACGUGCCCUCGAACCCAACCCCAACUCCAACUCCAGCCUCAGCGCUAAGCCCAUCCCCAACCGCAGCCCAGUCCCGCCCUGUUGCUGCUGAUGCGCUCGGUAAAGUUUGUGAAGAAAAUUUGAAUAUCGCUUGGCUUAUUCCGCGUUCGCCCAACCACCACCGAUGGCGGAAGGCAGAUGAAUCCAACAUGAGUCUGCCGCUAUCUGUGUGCUUGUGUGCAUGUGUUUGUGUGUGCGAGCAUGGGGGAAGUUUAAUGGUGGUGGAAAUGGAGUUGCAACCACCACCUCGAACUGAGGAUAGCUCACGUUGCCGUUAUUUGCACUGUGCCCGCAGCCCAGAACUCUUUCCACACACGAAGGCACAUCCACAGCCAGGCAAAGUCCUUGCUGCGCCAUUUGUUCAAAUUUCGGGCGAUGAGGAGCUGCCUCCGUCUGUUAUUAAUUUGGCUGCCAUGCCCCUCCAUCCACAUCCACAUCCUCCCGCUCCACCUUCGAUCUCUCCGGGUCCUGCCUGUCUGCGAAAACUCCGCCCGGGGCCAUUUGGCGUCAAUUGCGUCUCGGUCUCGGUCUCGGUAUUUUGCUUUGUCCCUGGCCCUGGAUGCGUUUCAUUAAUUAACUGAAAUACUCUCGACGAGCUGUGCACGUUACAACAAUGAAUUAUUUAUAUAAAAUUUGUCUGGCAUUUUUCUAAGCUUUACUCAAAUCUUUUCUAACCUCUGGGACUAGCCGUGUCUGCUCUCACAUACUAUUUGUUGCUGCUGCUGCCAGUCGCAAAUUUGUUGCCAUUUCACCCAUUUUCUCCACUGUCUAAGCUGGGUCUGGCCCUGAGGUGAAAUGAAGUGCAUUACUUGUAGCAUUAUUGGCGAGAUUUUUUUUGCAGAUAGCAGAUGCCAGACACACACAGUCGGGCCCUUAACUUGGUUUGCAAUUAAAGCAUGGCAUGGCGAAUUCCCCUUACUUUCUCAGAGAAUUUUGUAUGGCACAGUACGAGUAGCGUAGAAAUAUUUAUCUGUGUACUGAUGUCCAUUUUAAAUAAAUGUAUCUAAUCUGAGUUUUCCUGCGUGCCAAGACAGUGGAGGUUUCAUAACAUAUUUUCCACUUUGCUUUACACAGCGUUUUUCUACUCACCGACCGGAACUUAAUUGGCGAAUUCCCCUUACUUUCUCAGAGAAUUUUGUAUGUACAAGUAGCGUAGAAAUAUUUAUAUGUGUGCUGAUGUCCAUUUUAAAUAAAUGUAUCUAAUCUGAGUUUUCUUGCGUGCCAAGACAGUGGAGGUUUCAUAACUUAUUUUCCACAUUGCUCUACACAGAGUCUUUCCACUCACCGACCGGAGCUUAAUUAAAUUACACGAAUAUUUUUCCUUCCCCAAGCAGACGGGGAAUCCAGUGACGUAGCUCUUCAUUUUACAUUUUUUUGCAGACAGCUUGGCUACCGGGCAGACUUCAAAUCUCAGCCAGAACUAAUUUUAUAUUUUUUCCUUCCUUCUUUCGGGUAUUUUUACUUGCAUUUUUUCUGGGGGAAUUAUAACAUUACGUUUAUGUCUAUGCAAAAGGAUUUCGGUUGGUUGCCCUGCCUGGCCAUGAGGGGUGGGCCUUGUCUAGAUAUCUUUGUUUAAUACAUUUUUAUAGUCAGAAACCAGCUGCAUUUGCAUGAAAUUAUCUUAUUUCCAAACGAAAAUAAUUAAACAAACAUUAUGCAAUGGCUUGCUUUUCAUUUAUUCAUGAGGAAUAUGCAAAAGAGUCACUUUCUUUUGUGGAAAUAGUCUGGAAAUUAUAUACAUUUGACUGUUUAUGUCGCAAAUGCGGAAAGUACAAGCAAUUCUGCAUACUUUAACUCAGGCUUAUGCUCCAUUUGUUAAUAUUUAAAUUAAAUUUACAAAUAAACUGAGAAGUUAAACAUAGAAUACAUUUCUUGGAUCCAUUGGAUAACUUUUACCAUAAUUCGAAUUACACUUGAUCUCGUAGUUACCCUGUUAUUAAUUUCAUUCAAACAUUCUUCCGCCCGUCAGAUGUAUUUCCAAAUUUUGGCUACUUAACCCGAGCAUAUUUGCUGUGCUUCUGGAGGUAAGGAAAACAAUAAGCGUGGAAACCAUGAAUUUUAUUUAGUUCGCUUAUGAAAAUGGCCAACAAUCAGACAGAAACGAUAACAUAAGAGGGCAGUGCUGUUGUUCCCUUACAUAUGUAUAUGUACAUACAUAUAUGUAUACUCAUACAAAACAAUAAAAUAAAAUACACCCCAUCAAUAUAAACGACAGUAACAGCAGCACCACACACAUGAAUCACGUCCUGAGACGUAGUCGCCGUCAAAGUCGCUUCGGAGCAGGUUCUCCUCUCCCGAUAGGGAACAAGAGCAAAACAACCUUUGUAGAUAUCUCUGUAGAUAUGUAUGUACAUACAGACACAUGCGUAUUCGAGUGGGAAACACAUGAAAAAGUCUGUACAAAUACGAGUAAUGCAGCCAUUUUGGAUAACAAUGGCAGCCAACAAAGAACAAAACAACGGGGCCAAGAGAAGCAACAAAAUAAAAGAAGGAACAACAGAAUGAGCAGCACAAAUGUUGGAAAAGGUGGAAUCGGAAUUCGAUUCAACCGUUCAGUGACUCCUCGGAGUCGCCUUCUGCCAUCGCUCCCCGACCCGCGCAGCUUUGCGACAUUUAUCAAAGUCCCCAAAUGCGAACAAUGCCAGAAACAACAACAAAGCGGGGAAAAAUAAAAGAAAACACAAAAAUGUCACAUUCGAAUUGAAUUUAAAUGAGUUUUGUGCCCGACGAGCCCAGGGGCGUACGCCCAGAAACGGAUAGAGGCAGAGGGACAGCUAUUGGGACUGGGACCGGGACCCGAUCCAAGCCGAACCACAAUUCGAUAAAAUUCCCAGAGAUUAUGCCGUCAGGGCAGAAGGCAAAGCUCCAUGGCCAUUAGUCUGAGGCCUUUCUCCCAUUUCUUGUUUGUUCUCCGGAUCGUUCCUCGACUGUUACAGUCACAGUGGGCACAAAUCAAUUUAAUGCCCUGUCCCCAGUUUAAACAAAAGAAAUCAAGUUACUCGUAUUGUCUGCUAACCUGCACUUAACAUUUCUUGGACGAUAAGUGACUGGACAGUGGACUGAUGCCUAACUCAACUCAAAGCAUUCGCUGCAUGCAAAUAUCAGCAAAAAAGCAUGUAUUUAGUUCGGCAUAAAUGGAGUUUCAUCAGAUAUUUGUCUUUGCUUUUGUGCUAAUCUCCCAUGGUGCAUCGGUGCUUUUGUGCGCUGGAGCUGCGCGGUGAGCAUCAUUAGCAUUUACACUUUGCCGCCAAUCGAUCGACGCGAUCAAGUUGCUCCAACUGGAAUUGGGAUUGGUAUUGGUAUCGGAAUAUAUGUUGACGGCAUGGGCCUGGGACUGACUGCAGGCCGUACGAUCGUUUUAAUUUAGUCCAAUCAAAGCCAAUAGAAUUAAUUACGGAACUAAGACAAGAAUGUGGACGUCGCAAUUAGUUUUCUUUUCUGGUCCAUAAACAAUGUGGCACACAGGCAGACACUGUGGACGGAACGGAUGAGGGGAUUGAGGCAAAAAUCUGGCAAGUAGGUCACGGACAUGAGGACAGACGGACACGACCGGCCGAGGAAUGGGGACCGAGGGCGCUCCGCUUCGUUCCGAUGAGUUCCAAGAGUGACACAUCGCCAUGCACAUUACAGCAGAGAUAUAAAUAAACACGCACUGCUCUCGGAGGCUGUCCCUGCCGCCUCUCUGUUAUCUCUCUCUCUCUCUCUUGGCGCUGUGUGGGUGAGCCUGAGGGUGUGGUGUGGGCAACUCAUUUGGGGAGCCCGCAUGCCGAACUGUGUAUGUAUCUUAAUGCCUUGUGCGGAUGUGACUUCGCUUAUGGAAUCCAUACACAAAUGGCCACAUUCAACUUCCUUAUAAUGGGAAAUCUCCUCUGCCCCGGGCAGGACAACGGGUGGUCCGAUGAUGCUGUUUGCGAUUUCCAAGUGGGACAGCAGAUACAGAUUCCACUGCUCCGCUGGGACCUAUACAAACAUACGGUGGAUAACUUGUGAACACACUCAUACUACAUACAAUGUAUACAUAUUAUGUACAUAUGUAUGUAUGUAUGCAUGGGCAUGUACACACUCGUGUUUCAUUUGCAAUAUUCAUCACAGCCAUUAAUUAGCCUGUUGUCUUCUUCAUCCAGUCGAUAAGCGUAUGCCACAUUCGUAAAUAAAUUUGACAUUCUAUUCAUAGUACAAGUCUCGUUCUGUUUCAACAAAAUUCAAAUUUAUGGCGUCACAUGUUAGCGUUCCCCUGAGAAAACACUCAGCGUCACUUGGCUUGUUUGUUUUCUAAGUAGUUAAAAUAUACUAUGGUCAACGGUUUCGUUCUAUUUAGCUCAAAAGCUGACAUCGCACACAUGAGAUUGAGGCUCGUGCCUCUGUGUUUUGCAUUGAUGGCACCAGCUUCAAAGUGGAGGCAGCCACUCCCACACCAUCCUCAAUGUGUUAAUGGUGGCCGCAUUGUAUUCUCCCGUUCUCCCAGUAGUGUCCGCGACAAGUGGGUAAACAGAAAAGUGCGGUGGCAACACCUAAACUGAGUUAAUGGGGGCAUUUAUUGCCAAAUUGCUGUAAUAAACAAUUUGUUGAGCAUUUAACGAAUUUUACUACCGCCAACAAGAGCUGCCAGCGCAGCGGUUGAGACGGUUGGGACAGGGCAGGGCACGGCAGGAGCGGGCCAAAUGCGAGAGUGAGCCCAUAAAAAUGUUUAUGAUGGAUUAUGCUCCCUCAAUCCCCCACUCGCAAUGGCGGCUGCCCUCCGGCUCGACUCUCAUCAUUCACUUAACGUUUUACGACACUUUCCAUGUGGGACACGUUGAGGCAGGUUGCGGGCGCGCGCGGCUCUUGACUCUCGGCUCUCCGGAGACGUGGUCAAUGAAGCAGCCUCAUUCAAUGUCAAGGUGAAAAGUGUAUCACAUAAAUCGGCCAUAAAGGUGACGCAGAUUGAUUUAGACAGCGAGGAGAGCACGGCUGUGGCUGUGGGCCGCGAACGCACUGACAAUACUAACAAUUCUGGUGAGACUGUGGGAGCAGUCAAGAGAUAUUAAAAUUUUACGGUCAGCAGCAGACGGCAGCCAGACAGACAGACACCUAGACACACUUUCGCACACACAACACACCGCUUGCCUCACACACACUCGUGCGACAGUAAAAUAAAGCAUUAUUAUGGCAACCAUUAAACGAAGGCAGACGACGGCUCCACUCCAAGUCAAGUGCCGCUCAAGAUGUCGGCGGAAGCUGAGCGGUGGCCUUGGAUCUGGGACAGGGUCUGGGACCGUGUUAGGUCGGGUACGGGUGCGGGUGUGGGGGCUUGUCAUCCAUCUCCCAUAAAAGCGCGCGACUAACACGCGAGUCAAGUACUGAGACCAGACCCCCACCUCUCAUCUCCCAUCACCAUGUAGCCCGGAAAAGAGCCACGACUUGCGGCUGCGUUUUAUGAAUGAAAAUGCCUCUUUUCUCGUCUUCCUUUUUGUUGCUCUUUAAGCGGCCUUUUAUUGGCCUAAUGUCGCAUUAUGCACCACAUCAGCAGUGAGGGAACCACUCGAAAGGCGACUUCAAACGCUGUUUGUCUCAAGAAGUCAAGUGCUUAAAAUUACAGCUAAAUGCUAGCUUCAAGUGAGAGCUUGUGGGUGCAGGAAUCAAUAAAUCAUUGGAAUAUAAUUCUCUGAAAUUCAGGCUGAUUGGAUUUCUAUAAAAUUCAUCUACUUCUCUUUCUAUCAGUUUGUUGUGCUCCAACAAUUGAAUAUUCCACUUACGAUUUCGUGGUGUGGACGACAUUUCACACCUUUAAAUGCCUCGAAGCUGUAUCACACCGUAUUCCGCAGUGAGUGCUGCCGGCGACCAAUGACAUGGCAGACACUCAUCAGCCGGCUGUGGGGCUCAAGCCCAGCACAUCAUUGCUGCCAUGUUUGGGCCCCUUUGUCUGCUGGCACCGCGCACAGCUGGCAACUAAUCAAAUGCCAAAACACGUUCUCGGCAACCGCUUAUCAUGGGCAGGCCCAGACGGAGACGGGGGGGGGGGGCUAAAUUAAUUUGCAUAUUACCAACCACUGACAGACUGUCAACGGCAAAGGCAACGGCAUCGGCAGUGGACUGGCUACGCUGGGCAUGGCGAUGGCGACGUCAACCUGCGAGUCGGAUAUCAGGGGCAUUUGUAUAAAUAUGAUUGAUUUAUUAGACAAUUUCGACAGCAUUAUGCGAACGUGUCACGCAUAUCUGGAAUUGGGUUUUGUUCUCCACACGGCAUAGCUCUUUGUUUGGGCCAGUGACCAGCUGGCAGCAGCCAGAAGUCUUGAAUAGAAUCCGAGAUUUCUUAUCUACAAAAUCCUUAACUUUCAGAGCUCAGCUCCAAAACUUUCGAGGCUCAUCUGCAGUUGUCCAAAUUUGCAUUCUCAGCUCUGCUCUACGCUUGCACGUUUCGAAAGGCCAUUAGAGAUUGCAUUCUGCCAAGUUUUGACUGCAGUAUAAUUCUCGUAAACGAGAAUCCAGAGCCAACAAAAAUAGACAAAGAACCCGACUAGCCAGCGACUGCGCAUGCUCGUGUAUGGCGACGCCGACGUCGACGCUACGAUGAAGCUGCAGAUAAAAUUCACCAAUACGCACACACAUUCCCAGGGGCGGCCAUUAUUAUGGCCGCCUUAUUAUCACUUCGUGUGCGAGUGAGACGCGGAACUGCUGCUGAUUGGCUGACGAAAUGAUCCCUUUCUAAGGCACACAGCAGCGACCUCUGGUGGGGGAUCUGGCAAGCAGCAGCUGCGAAUGAACUCCGGCAGAGGGCAUUUUUGGGAACAAUUUUGUGUCUGAAAUAUGUUCAAGUGUCAUGACGGGCAGUGCCGUGUCCCGUUAGUGCAAUAAUCUACAUUCCUGAUCUGCUGCAAAAUCCGAAUCGCUUAAGACUAAAAACUAGUAUUUAUUUUUUAAUCAACAAAGGAAAGAAAAUCAAGAGUAAGAACUGUCAUAUCUUGAGUCUGAUGCGUCGUCAGGUGUCGCCACUGUGAAAUGUAGACGAGAUGUAAAUUUGAUGUAGCAAACAUAUGAAAUGAAAAACAAGGAACAAACGAAAUCGUUGCUUUGCAGACAACAUUUUGCUCAAUUUCGAAAAAGCAAGCCGAAAGUAAAGCUUGUUGUUCUUAUGUAAAUGGGCGCGGAGCUUAUUCUGCACAUGUAACGGAGCCGCAGGGCAGGCCUUGGCCAUGUACAUAGACGGGGAUACAUGGUUGGGCCUCGGCAGGCAACAUCAACAUCCCUCGAUGGCAUGCCGGCGAGAUAAAAAUCAAUAUAAAUAUAUAAAGGGCGAGCAGGCGCUCUUCUAUAUCUAUGUCUUUAUGUAUGUACCUUGCGGGGAAUACAUACAAUAUUUGCGCACACUUAAUGAGAAAAUUUAUGCGUUUUGCAAAGGAUUAUGGCGCAGAAAAUUUCAUUAAUUUCAUUUAAUAUUCGCAAUAAAACGGGAAGCCCAGCCAAUUUGCAUACGAACUGCCUUGAGAAGACAGCAAACUUUAAAUCAAUUGAAGCCAUUUCUUACAUUUACAGCACUCAAGCUGCCACGCCCUGAUCUCGAUAUAUAUGUAUGUAAAUAUGUACCAAAACUGGCAGAGACUUCACACAGUGUGUAUUUAUAUUUUAUACAUUUUAAUCGAUCCAUCGAACAGGAUAUUAAUUUCAAAUUUCGAUAUAAACUUCACACUUUACGAUGAUUCAAUGGGGCAGACGCGGGGGGCCUUGGGUUCCGCCAAGUGCCGCUUAAUGACCCCGCCCCGACUUAUCGCGAACCUGUUCGCAGAGCACUCUGCUAAAGGACAACUUUGCAUUCGCCAUUCGUGGUUAUCUUCGAACAUUUACAUAUGUAUUGUACUUACGUACAUACAAACUGCUUGACUCAGAUCGUAUAUUGAAUAUUUAUACUUAUAAUUUCAUGCUGAAGCUGUGCAAAUUGGCCAAUUCAAUUCCAUACACCCUCACGAAACUGCCUCUGUCAAAAUCUGAAAAAUGUUCAAUUAGCGGCUAUAACUUGUACUUUAACCAGUAAAAUGGUGUCGCUAAAAUUAUCAAUUUAUUUUUUUAUUUUUGGGUAGUGGCAUUGGAAAUGCGAAAUAAACUCACGGAACCUGCGUCAUAUUUAUUUCGAGUGCAACGAAGCCCAUAUUAAAACCACCAAUAUUAAUUUGUAAAUAAUCAUUAUAAAGCGUUUAAAAAAUGUUUUGGACUGCAAAAUAUUACAUUAUGUAGCUAUGUUUAUAGAUUGUUUAUUAAAAUAAUCUUGAAGAAAAAAUGUCAAAUUUAGAAUGAAUAAAAAGUAUUUUUUAUCAACUCAAUUCUUGCUGAACCUAAGAUUAAGUGAACACUCAAACUUUAAUCCGAUUCCAAAGAGAAUUCUAUGCAUAGUCAAUCUCUGGUUAUGGACUGAAUUUUGAAAUUGUCUACUUAAAGCACAAUAACCAGACUGAUGACAAAGGAAAACUUUCAAGUUGUUUAGAGUUUUGAGUUUAACGACUUUUCUAUUGGCCAAAGGGAUUCUCUUGGAGCUUCUGAGCAAUGUUUUAUUUGUGUCAGUCAACAAAACUCACAAACUCGAGUAGAAGAAAACAUCGUAAAUGUUUUUCCCACAGAUUAAAAUGUAAUAAAACAUGGAUACUUAUUUCGCUUCCUUGCGGAAACUAUUUUCAUAUUCAAAUAGUUGAAUCUUUGGGAGACCCGAAUAUAAAAAUAUUUGUAUCUGCUGAGAUUCGAUUUGCCGUCGCAAUUUACUAACUUGCUGUAUAAGAUUUGUGAGGGAGGAGAGCAGCGCAGAGCCAGAGCCAGAGGCAGAGGCAGAUAACGAAAAGAUUUCCAAGUAAUUGAAUGCGUUCAGAAUUUUAAUUGUCUGGGGCCACUUUUGCAUCUCAAGAAUGGAAACAGACAUUUUGUCUGCUGCGGGGCUUCAAUUAAAACAUUUCAAAAAAUCUCGAGGCAUAUUUUCAUGGCCUGUCGAAGAAACGCAUUAAAAUGGGCGACGCAAUGCGAUGCGAGGCGAUGAGAUGGGUUGGGUUGGGGCCUCCUCCGGCCUCCGGCUUUGCCUCGCACUUGACUCUCGUUAUAAGUACAUCUGAGAGUCAAAGUCGAACCGAUCCGAUCCGAUCUGAUGUGGGACUCGCUGCCCCCACUCUUUGGCACUCUUUCCCCUGGACACCCAUUGCAGAGAUGUGGCCGCCAUUGAAAUUCAAGACGCAAACUUGCUGCAUUUAUCGGGCUCGACUCAUGCUCCAACUCAAACUCCUCCUCCUGCUUCUCGAACUCCUUACAAGAACACUCGACUCGUUGAUAUUCCCGGCAUCGGAAUAGGCAUAAACAUGCCACUCGUAUAGCACCAUUUUUCAUUUCAUUUCGUUUCAAAAUCGCUGUGUGUCCGCCCUUUCCCUGCCCAAGGCAAGUACUUCAGAAUGAGCGAUGUCUCUGAUCUAAUUGCAAUAUGGAUGCCAAAACAGGCCGACUCCCUUGACACUUGAGACUCAAGUGGUAUGCUCAUCCCCAUCCCCGUUCCCAGACACACAUACCACAUAGACAUAGACGUAGACAUGGUCACAAAUUCGAUGGAAAACUUCUUUUUCAAUAUUUUCAAAUACAUUUACUUGUGGCACAUUGUUGUUGUUGCUGGUCAGGUCUCUUUUGUGGUGUCUGAGUCUCCCAUUUUCAUAUUUCCAGGCCGUAUUUUACUGAAUUCCAGACUGACAGCUACAAGCAACGACCGACGCCCCUGCCCCUGACCCUAACUCGUGUCUUAUCUCGAACACAAAUUUAAAAUAAAUAAAUAAUUUACUUUGUUUGGGGGUUUGUCUUUUGCUUUUGUUAUAUUCCCCAUUUGGAAUCUGGUAAAUGUUUAUACCAUCCGAAAACCCAACUCCCCAUCCAUUGCCAUCACCGUCUCAAUCGUCUCAAUCGUCUCAAUCGUAUCUGUGGCACAAUUUUUACGAUCCUGAAUUUAACACAUGUGCCGUUAGCGCUCAUUCCCCAUCUCUGGGGAGUUGCAUUGGGAAAUUUAUGAAGCGGUUAAGUUUUUUCGUCUCUCGUCCAGUGCAUUGAAUUUUAAUAUUUCUCUUGCCACUUUGGGCACUGGGCAUGGGAAGUCGCAUCGAAUGCAUUUCGGUUAUCGCUCAGCCACUCCGAACAGUCGGUAAAUCAAUCAAGGAACUUGCCCCCUUCCCAAACCCAAUGCCAGCGAGGAAAAUGGAGGAUCCCCGAUCUCUUGGGCUCGACAUUUCAAAGAUAUUUUGUAUGUCAAGCAGGUUAUGCUCGUUUAAUAAAAAGGUAGACUGAAAACGAUCAAAGCAAUUGUGUAUAACUCCACAAGUUGCGAGUGUCAAAAUAAACUUAAAAUGUAAAUGCAUUUAGAGUGAAUAAUUAUUAAUUUUCGGUACACCUUUACAAGCAAUUUCUUCAGUGGAGAACGAACAGAAGUAUUUCCCAUUUAAUCCUUUCACAACCUUCACGGCUGCUGUUAUUAUUCGGCGUAGUUGUUUUUUCCGGAUGAAUGGCCAAGGGUAAACUUCCAAAAUUGUACCACGUAGUAGUGUGUUGGAUGUUUCGAUAGAGUUUGGGUUUUUUUUUUAUCCAGCUGCCAUUCCAUCUCAGUGUUUACCCCGGGAGCAAGGACACGCCCUCGAACGUAAAAGGGCGAGCACUUUCAAUUGAAGGCAUUUCAAAGCAAAUGGCAUCCUGCGAUUAAGUGGAAUGAAAAUAAAGCGCAUUUCAUAAAUAGCUAAGGAGCAAGAUGGGCGGCAUCACAGUGGUUGUGGCGGUAUCCUUUUGUUGCGGUUUAUCUGAUGGUGGAAGAAGGAACGAAAGGGCAAGAAGGCGCUGCCCGAUUUCCAUGGGAGCAACAGCAAAUGUUGUCAUUACAUGGAUUAAACGAAACAUUUACAUGCCAAAAGAAAGCCACCCCAGACGCGACCACAUCCCUCCGCCCUUGUGGUGCCACCAGGUGAGUGGGGUGGCGGUUCCAUGCCACAUUCAACAUGGCAGCGUUGGUGGAAGGGUGGCAGCCGAAUGGCAACCGCUUGCUUUUGGCUGCCAACUCUCACUUUUGCGUUGCAAGAAUUUUGAUUUACGGCUUCCUCUUACCUCUUCCUUCACCGUUCUGAGCCAGGGAAUCGCAACAAUUGUCAGUCCCUGCAACCCUUUGUGAGGACGCGUCGCCUGCAACCUGACGACGGCGACGGAGACUGAAACGGAGUCGGAGACAGUUCCAUUGAAAUGUCAAAUAAACCGCGCAGAAGGGAUCGAGACUGAGAGACGGAGACAAAGGGCCUCAGCUGCCUGUUUGGCAGCAUUUUUAAAUCCAUUUAUGCGGCAAAUCAUAAAAAAUAAUUCAAGAAUAUACGCCUUUUCUCCAUUUUUUCUCUUGGUGCAGCACCGACAACACCGUGCAAAUGUUGUAUGUUUUGCUACAACAAAUUUUACGCAUCGCAAUCUGCUGAAAGAGUCGCGGGGGGUCAGCAAGCCACAGGUCGCAACCCGUUCGCGUCACCUGAUGCACACGGCAGGUAAAUCCUUCACGGAAAACUCUCUCUUCCUCUGUCUUGAUCCGUAGGUAGCGAGUGCCGUUGAGCAAAUUGGCAUCCUGCAGGGACUGGGUGGCAAACUUAAUUCGAUUGACAAUCCAUUCCGCGUAAUUAAAAGUACGGGAAGAGCGACAACAACAGCGACCAUGUCGGAGGAAUGGGCUACCAAUUUGGCUCAAAUGAAACCCACCCACGGGCAAUUACUGGGCUGCUGGCGGACCCUUCCUCCUCUGCAAUUACAUUACGCCCAUCCUGCUGGCUCCCGCUUGCAUGAUGAUUGCCAUUACUAUCAAGGGUUUCGGCUUGAGUUUGUGGCCCAAUCAACGGCACAUCCAUCUGCAUAUGGGCAUCCGCCCAGCCUGUGGCGGUAAAUUGAUCAAUUGGGUAAAAUUAAGGAGGCACUUUGGUGCUCUGUCGUUGCCUCUCCCCCACCCUCACCAUCACCAUCACCCCCUUCCACGUCCAUGUUUUUGUGGAGUUUCAUGUCAACGUGCCGUGGAGCUCAUCAAUAAGUAAGCCAAAGACUGGCACAUGGACAGGGACAUGACUUCAGUUAACUAGAGUCAAGUCGAGUCAACUUGAGUGGCCUGCGACAUAAGUUGGAUGAUUAAAUGUAAUAAGUCCUCCUCCCGAUGGGAUGACCAAAGCGGGAGUAAACUUUCUCAAUUAUUUCAGAUACUCGUAUACAAGCCAUUAUCUAUUGGUUUCCCACUUUUGCUGGAUAUUCAAGAGAUCAAUUAUAAGCAGUAAUCAAGAUCAAUCCAUCCGAGAGAUGUGUAAAUAUAUUAAAACGUUUAUUAUUAUUAUCGAACAUAUUAAAAUAUUUUGCAAAUCAAAUGCCACAAGUCUCUCAAUGCGUGAUGCCAUGAUAAUGAUGAUUUUCCAUCAAAUGGGAUUCUUAAAGCUGGUUUUCGUCACUGAUUUCUCGCCCUGGCCCCAUCUGUUUACUGUGUGAAAUGGAUUCCCUGAGAUAGUGCCCCCCAAGUGCUGCUCCUCGUGCUCAUCCUUCCUCGUCGGAAUAGUUUCGUCGUUUUGCUAUCGUUCGACAUCAUUGCUGUUGUACCAUCAUCGUAAAUUACACGAAAAGUAUCUAUCUUUAGUUGGAAAUGUUGCAAUUUUAUUAAAAUUCCAAAAACCCACCCGACGGCAAGCACUCUCCGCCCCACCCUCUCCCAGCACCCAUGAAUAUAUGUAUGUAGUUCCACUUAGACUCCGAGUCAGACUCGUCUCUAACUUGGACAAGGACGAAGGACAACCAGGCAACCACACCCUCCUCCCAAAGCCAACGCCAGUGCCAACGCCAUAUUGCAGAAAUUGUGUGGGCCACCAUAGUUCCCCCAGUGCCAGCCCGGGCUGUCGUUGCUUUUAUAUAAACAUGAGGCAAGAUUAGAUACAAAUUACACGCCAGCUUCCCAAGGUGGGCAACGCCCCUGUCCAGGUACUCGUUCUCAUUCCGUGUCUGGCAAUUUGCUCACCUUGCUGAUGCUGAUGCUGCUGCUGCUGCUCCAUCUGCUGUCGUGUAUCCAUAAGUUACAAACGCAAAGUAUCUUUGGACCGACAGGAGCAGCAGCAACAACAACUUCAAUAACAGGAAAAACUUUUUCCGUACUCGUUGGGAGCGGGGCAGGGUAAAUGAAACAGCAGGCAAUGGCAAAGGCAAAGGCAACGGCAACAGCAAAUGGCGCUGGGCAUCCCUAUUUCCCGCUCCCGAGCAUUUAGUCUAUUUUAUUAUUUAUUUAUUUCAUAUAUUCAGCAGCGGGCGCGAUUAUAAAAUGCAAAAAGAAGGAACAAAUAUGGAAAACUAUGUUGGGGUCUCAGGAGAGGCAUUGACUCCGCUGCUCCCCAUCUCGGCAGCUUCCUAGAAGUAAUUUUUGUCUGCCAAACUCAAACUUUACUUAUUUUCGCAGCAAAAAGAAAGUUUGUCCUUUUUCCGUUCGUGAUUUGAUGCGGGGGGUGGGAGGCAGGGAGACCUAGCCGGUGAUGGGGAGGGAAAAUAAAAGCAAUGUCAGCCGGAAAGUUCUCCAAAGGGUCCACGGUACACGGUAGAGGGUCCUCCUGAGUGCGGGGGCGGAUGUCGCUGCGGUUGUGUGUUUGCUCGGAUGACAAGGGCAGGCUGAGCCUCAUUCAGUGGCACGUUUGCAAAAUGGCCCGAUGCGUGUCUGGAAUACAUUUUCAUGCUUGCCAAAAAAAAUGGAGAAACACCCAAACCCAGGCACAACUUUUGGCAUGCUCUCCCACACAUGCCCAUUCUGUGCCACUCGUGCCACUCCCACCAGUCCCAGUCCUGGACUCAGUCCCCCUUGGUGCAUUUGUACAUAUUGUUGGUUGUAUUUCAACGUCAAUUUAUGGGAAAUUGUUUGCCAAGUAACACGAAAAGCGGCAUUUUGUGUUUUCUAAAAUUUAAUGUGGCUCUUCUCUUACUCCGCCGCUCGAAGGGCCGGUGGAUGGAGGGGAGUGCGUGUGCUUAUGCCACAGAAUUUUAAAUUGGCAAACAGGAGCACUCACACUCACAAUCACACACUCGCACACACAAACUUAUGUGGAAUAAAUUCCCAUGGGUCGUGCCGCGCAGGUUUUCGGGCGGAGUAACGCAGGCGCAGGCCAUGGCCAUGGAGGAACUUCACUCUGAGGCGCUACCAAACCGGACUCUGGGUUGGGUCCUGGCCAGUCUGACGACCUGCCUGCCCUUUUGAAGGGCUUAAUGUUAAUUGCGGCUUUUGUUUGGUUUUCCAUUCGAUUAAGUUAAUGGCGACAAGCGGCGCUCUGGAGCGGCCUGCUCUUUCCCCCAUUCAAUUUCCAUUAAAUUAUUGGCAAAUCGAUUUCAUUUUAAUCGGAAAUGCUCCACUACAGACAUACGAAUGCUUAUGUUUAAAUCUUUGCACCUGCUUGAUAAACAUUUAAAUUGUGUUUUCGCAUUUAUUUAAUAAAAUCCAACCACGAGCUACCAUAAGGGUAUAUAUUUUAUAAUUAGCUAAAUGCAUAAUCAGUUAAAUAUCGCUUUUUAAUUUGCAUCUCACUGUAUUCAUUUACGUUGCUGUGGCGACUGUUCUGACACUAGUUUCAUAUGUUUUUGAUACUCCAUCCAUUUGUCUAAUUUAUUAGAACUGAAACAACUUGGGAAGUGUCUACAAAAUAAGCGCUCAAGGGCCUUUGUUCGCCAUCUCUCUAGCCGAUCGAUGACGUCUUUCAUUCCUCAGCUGGUCCAAGCUCUUAAGUAAACGAAUUUGUUGCCACCUUAAUUUGAUCUAGUUUGGUUUCAAAGACAACAAAUUCUGACCAGGAAAUAAGUCAGCAACAACAUGAAAACUCGUUCUUAAUUGCUGAAAAAUAUUUGCUGGCAACAUAACUCCAUCUACAAUGUUUUAUCUUAUGCAAAAACUCAAUCACUCAGUAAAAUCCUAAAAUCAAAAUAUCUUAUUGAUUCUUUUAAUGCCAAUUCCUAAAUAAAAUGAAAAAAAACGAUGCGUAAAAACAUGUAAUCCCCUUUUGGUGCCGUUGCCUUCCUUGUAUUUUACUUGUCUUCCCAGAUCAGAACAGAUCAUGUAUUGAAUUUAUUUAUUUGUAAAAAAAUUGUAAAAAAUAAUGAAACAAAUUGGAAUGGUCUUGGACGGUUAGGAGCAUCGACCAGAUCGAGCAUCGAGAUGGAGCAAACAAUAAUGCAGGAACAUCCGCAGCAAACUGUCAACUUAAGCGUCGUAAAAAGUCGAUUGUAUCGACAAUAAUUCUUCGCAUUAAAAACACAAAGUUAAUGCGCCAGUAGUUGCCGAGCGACUCCACUCGGCUGCAAGGUGGAACCACAGCUAGAGACAGAGACAGUAUUAGCCUCAGCAAGAAAGAGAGAGCGAGGGAGAGAGCACGAGGAGCGAAAGGAAGAUCAGGAGUGGAGAAAGCGGGGAGCCGGGAAAGAGAGCGAGUCCGGAGCGCCUUAAUGGAAGACUCAAAUGCUCGUAAAGUCAGCGGGCUGGGGCCUGGAGACUGGAACUCCUGGGGCUGAGCAUCUCGGAGUGGGGUGCUGAGACUCUUCUGGUGGUUGUCGAGUGCACCGCUGGGCACUUAACUGGAGGAAUUUGUUUGUUUUCUCUGGCCACUAGGCAGUGCGCCCCUCGACGAGCAACUCUCUCACUCUGCUUGGCUCUGUGGAUCCCUCCCCAGGGCUGGCGUGUGCAUCUGGCACACUUACCGCGCAAUUAAUGGCGCAAUUAAAUGUUUACUUUAGCCGCUUUCGAACCGCACAUUCAUAUGUAUACGUAAAUGGCAGCCGUUCGCCAUCACAGGGGUAUCCAGAAAGGAAGGGGAAAAAGUAUUCAGCGGAGAGGCGUGGCUUGGGCUGCUCUUAUCAAAAGCUGGGCACAUGUGAAACGAAGAGCGAGGUGUCAGUCUGUUUAAUUUUGCAUUGAAACUGCUUGCUUGAUGUUUGGCCAUUCCUUUUGUUUUCAAUAGCGAACAGAAAUCGCAGAAUUAGCAAUCAAAUCUCUUGUCUCAUGAGAAUUCAUAAUGAGAGCCAGAAAUAGUUUUAAAAUAUUGAUUUUGGCUUUAAACAAAACUCAUUUGACACUUUGGCAGAUGGAAGACUCGGACAAAUAUUUAUUGACAAUUUUAGUUUCCUAAUGAAGAAAUAUCAAAUGAAUUAUAACAAUUGUGGUGCUGUUGCUCCUCCGAAUACGCAUUCCCUUUCCAGCAUUCCAGCAUUCCAUAAUAUCUGCAAGAGUUUUAGCUUUGGCCAUCGCUCUGCUCUAAUUUUAGUUCCCUCUGCUGUGGGGGUCGUAAAACAAUUUGUUGCAAAAUUCAGCAAACAGCCAGAAAAGUGCCCCAUAAAAACUAUAAUCCUUCCGCUGCGUAUUCGUGAAGGCAAGCAAAAUGAAAAUGAAGAGCAGCAAGGAAACUCUGACACAUGUUUUCCUCCCAGCCCUCCGGAACUGUGCGAAACUCUCGCUUUCGUUUUUAGAGAUCAUAAAGCAGUUUUAAUGGAUGCUUGGGUGUGCUGGUGAUGUAUGUGUGUGUGGUGUGUGUGUGGGUGGACUCAGCACCGCAAAUAGAGUGAAAAUCUAAAAAAUCCAAAUCGCCUGGGAUGGUUGGGUUCCGCUUCGUUCCGUUUGGUUCCGUUCUGCUACGUCAAAGAGUUGCAAUUACAAAAUAUUUAAUUGCCGGCAGAAAAUGUUCAAGGAAAAACGAAAGUGGCCUCGGAAAACGCCGCGGGCGAGGCCUGUUGAGAAAAAGAGUUGACUUUAUGGCACUUAAACAGCUAUAAAAUGUUGAAUUAUGAUUUCGAGGUCGCAAAAAAAAUGCCCAACCGCGGUACUCCCUGUUUUUGUUGCAACAAACACCGUGACGUGUGUCUUUGUUUAUUCUUAGAUUGAAACACACACAUGACGGCAUAUGGGACGGGUAAACGGGCCCCAAUAAUGCGAAUAGCAGCCAAUGACACAUCCGGACGCAGGACAGGACCUGAGCCGAGUCCGUAUCGUGUCUGGGAGAAUUUCGGAAUGACGCCUGUCACUUGGCUUCAAUUUAUUGCCCUUGCCGAUGUCUUAUGGCCGCUGUCCCUCGAUGUGCAAAUGCAUUUACAUAUUCAAAAUGCCACGCUGUGGUCAGUGGCAAUCGCUGUCCCAGACCCUCAGUGCCUGCUGUUGUCUGCCAUGCCAAGUGCACGUUUUGGAUUGUUUAUACAAUAUAUUUCUGUUGUUUUUUUUAAAAGUAAAUAUCAUGAGUGAGUGCCACGACAGACAGAACAAAGAAUGCAUAAAUUACGGAGUCUCCCGCCCCCAGGCAUCAGACUUGUCUGUCAUGAUUCUGACUGGCACUCGCCUAAAAAUCUUGUCCCUCGCCUUAUUGAAAUUGAUGCCAAUGCCAGUGCCUCCUUCUCCCUACCAAUUGCACUGACCCGAGCGGUCUGUCCCCUGUCCCACAUGAUAGUCUCCCAGAGUUCAUUGCGCCCUAUCAGUGUCCAAAGUCGAGACGCACAAAUCAGGCAGAGAUCAACUGCAAAUGCACGAGUACGAGUAAUAAUUACAAUUUAUAAAAGUUUACUGCCUUGCUAAGAUUUUUAAUGCCACUCGCUCUCCUUUCGUUUCGUUACAGCUCUUCGACGUGGGACGCAGACGGGACUCUGGACUCUCUCGUAAGUGAUAUCGAUUGAUCCAUCAGUCGAUAAGUAAUCAUUUUAUUAUCUGCACUCAUAGUCCCACAUUCGCAUGCAUCCGCUCGGCUGGGAACCAAUC
RNAcentral lists this long non-coding RNA (40645 nucleotides) under Drosophila guanche. The record is from RNAcentral. Lineage: Eukaryota; Metazoa; Arthropoda; Insecta; Diptera; Drosophilidae.